This 497-nucleotide ribosomal RNA is filed under the name uncultured bacterium. Its description in RNAcentral is "partial 16S ribosomal RNA". It matches the Rfam family "Bacterial small subunit ribosomal RNA", at positions 28 to 507 of the family's 1533-position model. The record is from RNAcentral.
GAUGAACGCUGGCGGCGUGCUUAAUACAUGCAAGUCGAGCGAACGGACGCGAAGCUUGUUUCUCUGAUGUUAGCGGCGGACGGGUGAAUAACACGUGGAUAACCUACCUAUAAGACUGGUAUAACUUCGGGAAACCGGAGCUAAUACCGGAUAAUCUUUUGAACCGCAUGGUUCAAAAGUGAAAGACGGUCUUGCUGUCACUUAUAGAUGGAUCCGCGCUGCAUGAGCUAGUUGGGAAGGUAACGGCUUACCAAGGCAACGAGGCAUAGCCGAGGUGAGAGGGUGGUCGGCCACCCGAGAGCUGAGACACGGUCCAGACUCCUACGGGAGGCAGCAGUAGGGAAUCUUCGGCAAUGGGCGAAAGCCUGACGGAGCAACGCCGCGUGAGAUAUAAAGGUCUUCGGAUCGUAAAACUCUGUUAUGAGGUAUGAACAUAUGUGUAAGUAACUGAACACAGCGUGACGGUACCUAAUCAGAAAGCCACGGCUAACUACGUG